RNAcentral lists this ribosomal RNA (515 nucleotides) under Bacillus sp. A-39-25-2. Its description in RNAcentral is "bacterial SSU rRNA". It matches the Rfam family "Bacterial small subunit ribosomal RNA", at positions 8 to 491 of the family's 1533-position model. Lineage: Bacteria; Bacillati; Bacillota; Bacilli; Caryophanales; Bacillaceae. The record is from RNAcentral.
AGAGUUUGAUCAUGGCUCAGGACGAACGCUGGCGGCGUGCCUAAUACAUGCAAGUCGAGCGGACAGAUGGGAGCUUGCUCCCUGAUGUUAGCGGCGGACGGGUGAGUAACACGUGGGUAACCUGCCUGUAAGACUGGGAUCAACUCCGGGAUAACCGGGGCUUAUACCGGAUGCUUGUUUGAACCGCAUGGUUCAAACAUAAAAGGUGGCUUCGGCUACCACUUACAGAUGGACCCGCGGCGCAUUAGCUAGUUGGUGAGGUAAUGGCUCACCACAGGCGACUGAUGCGUAGCCGACCUGAGAGGGUGAUCGGCCACACUGGGACUGAGACACGGCCCAGACUCCUACGGGAGGCAGCAGUAGGGUAAUCUUCCGCAAUGGACGAAGAGUACUGACGGAGCAACGCCGCGUGAGUGAUGAAGGUUUUCGGAUCGUAAAGCUCUGUUGUUAGGGCAAGAUACAAGUACCGUUCGUAAUAGGGCGGAUACCUUGUACGGUACCUCAACCGAGACAGC